UACUUUCUUAAAUUUUCUAAAUUCUUUCUUCACGUAAGUUCUUGUUUUUUCCCAGUUUUUUUAGCUUUAUUUUUUAUUUUUUUUGUUAGAUUGUUCCCGAUUUAUUUUGUUUCUUGUUGUUCGUGGAAUGCAAGCUGUUGUUUGUUCUGUCGUCUUCUUCUUUCAGUUAUGUAAAACAGAUAUAUUUCUCGUCCUUUUUUAUCACUCUUUUUAAAAGUUCAUCUUAUUUGUAGGUAUAGGUUUU
RNAcentral lists this long non-coding RNA (244 nucleotides) under Linum usitatissimum (flax). RNAcentral describes it as "long non-coding RNA (LUSI_LNC003726)". Lineage: Eukaryota; Viridiplantae; Streptophyta; Magnoliopsida; Malpighiales; Linaceae. The record is from RNAcentral.